AAUGUUGAGCCUGAUGAGAAAGCAAUUGGUUGAGGAGUUGCAGGAGAAGUCCGAAAAGGCACAGCAGCAGGCCGGACUGGCGAUUUAAAAACAGGAGGACCAGGGGGGGUGCUUAGAUGAGGAAGGGGGCUCCUAACCCCAUUGGCAGGUGACAACAAAUUUGGGUUCUGGAAAAAAGGGGAAGGGAUCUGAUCUUGUAGCAAUUUAGGAGGAGGAAAUCGAGGAGCUCCAGGUAACAUUGUAGCAGGAGGAGCUGAAUUUUUAUCUAGUUGAGGGGUUGAUGAGUCAGAGUUUGAGGGAGUAACAGUAGAAUAUCCAAGGGAAGGUGGUGGUGGAUUAGUCAUUGCAAUUCAAAGUUUCUCUAUCGAAUAAUCAAGAAUAACCUAGAAGCCAAAAUCAAACUCUAUAGAAAGCUACAGACAGUUGUAUCCCAGGGCCAAUUAUGACAAGAGAAUUCAAAGUGACAACUUUGAGACUGUCAAUUGAUUAUUGAUUGAAAUUCAAUUAAGAAUCAUAAACAAAACAGCCUACAAAGGUCUGAUACACCGGCAGCUCAAGAAUUGCAAUCCAAUCUCAAUAUUGAUGCGGAAGAAGAUACCGAAUGGGAUGACCUUGACAAACCAAAACCCCCAAGUAAAAUCUAAAACCCCAGAGCAAGAAAGGGCUUUGAUGCAAAUCCAGUUCAAGAAAUCCCCAGUAAAAUCAAGAACCCAACUAAAGAACCAAAAUUAUCAGCUUCAGAGAUCAAAUUGAAUGCAAGAAAACCUGAUCUCUCCGCAUAAUUGGGCACCAAAAUCUUCCUCUCGCACAGACAUCUGAAAGAAAAGGAGACCAGUUAGAAUUCCACUUUGUGUCAAGAAAAAGGAUCUAGUUUUCUUCAGCAAAACAAAACCAAUAUUGAAUGAAAUUGAGACGAGGACAGUAGAAUCGACGUACCUGAGAGGGAAAGAAGGAAAAUUGAAAGAUUUGCAGAGUAAAUCUUCAGUCCCUUUUUUAAAAAUCUUAAUUAAAAAAUGGAAAUAUUUUCGAAGUGAUUUUAUAAUCUUUUUGGAUUCUGGGUCCUUUGUCCUCGCAAGCUAGGGAGCUCUCUCUCGUCUCCUGUUGUGUUCGAUUUUCCUUUUACACGAGAGGGAGAAGACAGCAACGUUGCAGUUUGGUCCACAUAAAGUCAACAGGCCAUUUUUUAAUUGUCUUUCUGUAACAGGAUGAAUCGCGAAUGAAGAUCUCCGAUGUCGUUCCAACCCUUCGUUAAAUUAAUUCAACUUCCUCCGAAUUACGGCCCUCGUUACUUUGCGCCUGCAAAGCCCCACUCUGUGAAUCGAAUAAAAAGAAAACACUAAAUUACAAAUUACGUUUACAAAAUAUUAUAAUAAAACUUUAUCAAUAAGAUAAAUUUACACGUUUAUAUAAAAAAAUUAUCUAUUUAUUUUUUUAUUAUCAUCAUCAUUAUUUUUAUUUUAUUUUUAAAAUGAUUUAGGAAAAAAAACGUUAAGGUAAAUAUUUUAAAAAUAUUAGUUCUAACAUUAAUUUUUUUUUAUUAGAGUGAAUCAGGAAUUGAACUCUAAAUUACUUUCAUAUUAUUUGGAUCUCCUUUGGGAACUGCAAAUGGAAAACUUCACGAAGAAUCAUGCCUGAAAGAGGCGGAGCAAAGGAGAUCCGACAUGCCAUCAAAAUAACGGUGAAGAUGGGACAAAACCAGGAAGGCUUUAUUGCUCAUCCAAAGCAUUUCAACCGGGAAACAGUAUAGGACGGGGACCACUUCAAACCUUUUCAAGUGACGGUGAGUACAGAUGUUUUCUUUGUGAAAAAAAAAUAUUAAGGAUGAGAUCAUAGCCGCCGAAGACACCAUCCAGGUUACACCCCCUCGACCACGGAAAGAACAAAAAAAUAGAGACGGGAGAAGAUGGGUUUCCACGGGCGAGGCAGGAUGCAGUUCCCAAGACUCCCUUUUCUUGGAAGUACAUUAGCAAUUAAAUAAUGUAAAACUACAAAUUAACUUGGUUCUGGGGGCACCACUUUCAGACUCCGCAUCCACUCGCAGAAACUUGGAUCAUCAAAGUGAAUAAAGCUGCUUUUUAGCUUUGUUCGUUGUUCUGUUGUCAGAGAUCGAAGCUGCGGGAAUCUUGCCUCCUGCAAUCAAGUUCCAUCAAUUUGGUAAAAAUCCAACACUAUAAGCCUACUAAUAUUAUUGACCAAGAGCUUAUUUUUCUCUUUUCCACCAUAACCUGUUCAUAAGGUGGGUCCUUGUGUGCAGGUAUCAGCCGAGAAACAAAAUAUCUAGCUUGAGAGCUUCCCUCCUGUCAUUAACCCAAACCAACAAGUUGAUCAGUUCGGCCACAAAAGGAAAAAACUUAGGACAAAGGUGCACAGAAAUGGAUUGCAAAGAAUCAAGGGAAGAAAAACCUUGAAUGCAAGGAUUCUAGGUGCUGGAAACCGCAAUUCAGUUAUCUCUUCAGCUAAUGUUCUGCAGGCAGCUAAAGCAGCUGCACUUCUUCCUUCAUCAGCGGCUAGCUCAGCACCCUGUAGUUAGCAGUUAUUGAGAAAGUAUCUUUGUAUAUCAGGACAUAAAUGCCAGCUGACACAGAAAGAAACUCGAGAUAUAGACUAGCGGACUCAAACCAACACUAGUUUGGUAUAUGCAUGUCCAUAGCAAUCAGAUAUCCUCUCAGAAACAGGCAGUCGUGGUGAGGAAAAUUAACAUAAAAGCUGCCAGCUGAAAAUAUAGAAAUUGAUAUUUAAGCGGAAGACUGGCAUCAUUAGAGUUACUAGCACGCUUCUUACCUUCAAUCUAUUACUUCAGAAUUAGAAAAAAAUGCCUCUAAAUUUCUUUUUUUAUUGAAUCACAAAAGGAUUCCUUUUUCUGAAACAAUUAUAAGCAGGGAAGCAAUAAAUGUUUUCCCUUUGUUUCACCUAUCAAUAUUUCUGCCAGGAAAUGUCAUGCUUGAAUGUUUUUCCAUCACCUGAAAUUAGAUCAUUACAUAAACCAUAGCACAGACAAGUGUUUGUCCCCUCCCUAUAUCUGCAAUAAAUUCUUGAAUUUCCUUCCCGGUCAAAAACUUUAAUAGAAAAUACCGACUUUUUUAUCCAUGACACAAAAGUGCUCACAAACCAUGCAAAAACAGACAGCAGACACACCCACAGUUGAAGAUGCUCAGUUCAUGAGAAACGCAGGGGAAAUAAACAUACAAAAUAAAAAUAUUCAAUAAUUAGCAAUAUCAGGGAAUUGCAAAAGGAUGCCAACAUAAAACAGCAAGAAGAAAAGUCAAGUCACUUACCAACCAAAUGAAGACAUCUGUACCAUGGUCAAGAACAACAGCUGUAUCAGACUGCAUCGCAAGGUCAUAAGCUGGAAGUUCCUCAAAAGUGCCCCCUUCCCGGUGCAUUAGACAACGAGGUGCCACCAUACGGAGUGAAAGAUCAAAAGAUGCAUUCAAAAAUAAAUUCCGCAGCACAGACCUCUCAUCUUCAUGACCAACAAUGCUUCCCAAAAGAGGGCCCCGUCUAAGAUGGAAAAGGAGCUCUGGUAAUGCAGAGAGUUCUUUAGGAAAUCGAUGAAGUUUUGACUUGGGUACUAGGGACCCAAAUUUUAAAGCAAUGUCUUUAAUUCUUUCAUCUAUUGUUCCACGCAUAUCCAUGGCAUCUGAAUGGUUUUUGGCUCGCAAGAGGGUUCUCUUGGCCAUCAGGAUUGCAGCCACUUCAUCUUGAAAACUUUCAAGAUAUGCUGAAACACUAUCCACAGUAGGCAACCUGACAGUAACCACUCUUGAAAUAUCAGCUUGAUAAACGUUUGUGUAUUGAACAGUAAACUGGAAAAAUACACAAUCGCUCUUGAUGUCUCCUUUAGUUUCCAUAGAGAUUGCAAAGCUUUGGGUUUCUUCAACACUUAGCAUUUGAAUGCAGAGCGCAUUGUCAUUCUUGAAAGUUUCAUGUGUGUCUACAUGCGCUUCUUCACCAGGACCCACAACUUGAGUAAUUAAAAUAUCAUCAGAACAUCGAAUCUCCAACAAACCAUGGGAACCUGAUGCCCUAGAAGAUGCCCUUUGCAAAUUCACACCAAAGGCCUCCCCAAAGUCAUCGUGAAGAACCAAAACACCUCCAGAUGCCUUUGCAAGCGGCUGCAAAACUGGAAUUCUAACAGGGCAAGUUCCAGCACACAGAAUGUCAACUACUGUAUUAUUUCUAUGCGCUUCGCGGCCCAGGUUCUCCAUCCAUUUCAAGGCUGUUUUUUCCAGAUGAGGAUAAUUUGGGUGGCUAAAAGAAUGAGGAACUGAUCCAGGGCCCAUAUGUAUUAGGCCCGCCAGCACACACGAUGAUCCUGCUAUUGCCUCCAUUCCUUUUAACUACACCUCGGGACAUUUCUGCUGAUGGUCCUCGAAUUAUAGCCAGAGCAACCUCAACUGCAGUACCCAGGCACCGAUCUCUUAAAGCUUCUGCAAUGUUUGAUUUAUACGGUCUCUCAAAGAUGAGAAUAUUUUGUGCGCUACUUCCUUUGAAGCAUGCAUCGGUGACAAGUACACACCAGUUCCGUAGAUCAAUGCUUUCAAGGACUCUUGGAUAGGUGAUUUGUCACCAGGAAGUACAUCAGCAGAUGCCAUUGAUUCCUCUGAAAAAUCAUAAACUGACACUGUACGACCAUAAAGUAUUAUUCCAAUUCUUGCUGUAGGGGGGAGUGAAUCCGCAAAUGCAUGCAAAGAGCUUUGUAAAUGCUGCAGGUGGGGUUCAUCUAAACAGUCAUCUAUAACAAGUACAACGGGUGCAGACAUUCUGGAAUCAGAAACAGGAAUAAAACCAGGUCUCUUGUUCCCAGUUCGAACAUAAUCAACAAUGGGUGAUGAAAGUUCUGGAAAGUUGCGAAGAUCUUCUUUGCUUGGAGCUACAUACUCACCUUCACUUCCAUUCAGUCUCUGGCAAAUCACACAUUGCCACUGGCCUGAACCAAGUAAUAUCUUGCAAUAAAGAUUUGCAUAAGCUCCACAAUUGUGGCAACGAUGAGGAUCACGCUGUAAUAUUUGAGGACCUGGAAAAAUCUCUCUCCCAGGAGAAAAUAACGCCCCAAAGGCCAAACUUGGUACAUUUGUUAGUUUCUUUUGCUUCAAGACCUAAUAACAAAACGAGCCGAGCUCAAGUUCAAUUGAAAACUGCAACAUUAAUGUAAGCAAAAAAAUCACAAGAUUCAAGCAUAUAUAUAGGCGAGGCAUUUGGAAAGAAAGGAUAAUCAAACAACAAUUUAUGAACCAAACAAAAAGGUGCUCUCAAAAUCAGAACAACAAUCUCAUAAAAGACAAAAAAAGAAAAAAAAUUCCCACAACAAUUGGUGCCUUCAGUUUGAACAGGAGAGAGAAUGAUAGAGAUACCUUGUGAGCAGAGAACAAAGCACAUGAUGAUUCAUUGACAAGUGUCGAGUCCUCUGUAGCAAGGGGAACUUGGUGCUGCAACUCAACCGAACCAUUUAAAAAAUGAGGAGGCGAGGAUGUUGGCAAUGUUGAGCCGGAUGAGAAAGCAAUUGGUUGAGGAGUUGCAGGAGAUGUCCGAAAAGGCACAGCAGCAGGCCGGACUGGCGAUUUAAAAACAGGAGGACCAGGGGGGGUGCUUAGAUGAGGAAGGGGGCUCCUAACCCCAUUGGCAGGUGACAACAAAUUUGGGUUCUGAAAAAAAGGGGAAGGGAUCUGAUCUUGUUGCAAUUUAGGAGGAGGAAAUCGAGGAGCUCCAGGUAACAUUGUAGGAGGAGGAGCUGAAUUUUUCUCUGGUUGAGGGGUUGAUGAGUCAGGGUUUGAGGGAGUAACAGUAACAGAAUAUCCAAGGGAAGGUGGUGGUGGAUUAGUCAUUGCAAUUCAAAGUUUCUUUAUCGAAUAAUCAAGAAUAACCUAGAAGCCAAAAUCAAACUCUAU
RNAcentral lists this long non-coding RNA (5888 nucleotides) under Populus tremula. RNAcentral's name for it is "long non-coding RNA (PTRE_LNC000953)". Lineage: Eukaryota; Viridiplantae; Streptophyta; Magnoliopsida; Malpighiales; Salicaceae. The record is from RNAcentral.